UUAAAUUUCAAGUGCUGUUUGUGAAAAACAAACAUAUUGAAGUGGAAAUAACCUUUGAUAGCAUUUGUUUUAUUUUGGUGAGUUUUUAUAUUUAUUUUAUAUUAAUUUUGAGCCCAUUGUAUGAAAGUUUAUUUUUUUUUUAUUUUUUUCCCAGGUCAAUUAUAUGUAGUCGGUUGAAUCGACAAUAUCAACAACAACAACGAAAUAGAAAGUCAUUGAAUUUCUUCCAGUUUUCUUUGCAUGCGGGUUGGUUUGUUGCAACUUUUAACGAAAAUUGAAUUGACAAUAUUCAUUUUAUUAUGGUGACUUAGAAUUUUUAGGUACAUACGUGGUCACAUAUGACGACAAAUUCAAAUUAUCCGAUUUGAGUGGAUUGUUCAUUCAAGGAAGAAUUAAGCCAAAACCAGAAUAGAUUUUCUCCACAUUUUGUUCAAAUUGUUCAACAAAAUUUAAAUACUAUUAACAUUGUUAAUAAAUUGUAUUUUCUAUUGGUCGAAUUUCGUCCCCGUCCGGCGACUCCAGUUGUAUACAAAAACGUAAAAACAUUAAUUCGUAAAAUAAACUUAUAUUAUUGAUUUACA
Bactrocera oleae (olive fruit fly) is the source of this 581-nucleotide non-coding RNA. Lineage: Eukaryota; Metazoa; Arthropoda; Insecta; Diptera; Tephritidae. The record is from RefSeq and is a predicted model, not a curated record.